GACGAACGCUGGCGGCGUGCUUAACACAUGCAAGUCGAACGGAAAGGCCCUGCUUUUGUGGGGUGCUCGAGUGGCGAACGGGUGAGUAACACGUGAGUAACCUGCCCUUGACUUUGGGAUAACUUCAGGAAACUGGGGCUAAUACCGGAUAGGAGCUCCUGCUGCAUGGUGGGGGUUGGAAAGUUUCGGCGGUUGGGGAUGGACUCGCGGCUUAUCAGCUUGUUGGUGGGGUAGUGGCUUACCAAGGCUUUGACGGGUAGCCGGCCUGAGAGGGUGACCGGCCACAAUGGGACUGAGAUACGGCCCAGACUCGUACGGGAGGCAGCAGUGGGGAAUAUUGCACAAUGGGCGGAAGCCUGAUGCAGCAACGCCGCGUGCGGGAUGACGGCCUUCGGGUUGUAAACCGCUUUCGCCUGUGACGAAGCGUGAGUGACGGUAAUGGGUAAAGAAGCACCGGCUAACUACGUG
RNAcentral lists this ribosomal RNA (468 nucleotides) under uncultured bacterium. RNAcentral's name for it is "partial 16S ribosomal RNA". It matches the Rfam family "Bacterial small subunit ribosomal RNA", at positions 28 to 507 of the family's 1533-position model. The record is from RNAcentral.